GGACGGAUAAGGCUUUCACGCCUUAUCCGACAACAACUGCCUGAUGCGACGCUGACGCGUCUUAUCAGGCC
Molecule: non-coding RNA, 71 nt
Organism: Escherichia coli str. K-12 substr. MG1655
Lineage: Bacteria; Pseudomonadati; Pseudomonadota; Gammaproteobacteria; Enterobacterales; Enterobacteriaceae
Source: Rfam